Molecule: ribosomal RNA, 372 nt
Filed under: uncultured organism
Description: bacterial SSU rRNA
Rfam family: Bacterial small subunit ribosomal RNA
Source: RNAcentral
CGGGGGGGGCAAGCGUUGUUCGGAAUUACUGGGCGUAAAGGGCUCGUAGGCAGCCAACUAAGUCAGACGUGAAAUCCCCAGGCUCAACCUGGGAACUGCGUCUGAUACUGGAUGGCUCGAAUCCGGGAGAGGGAUGCAGAAUUCCAGGUGUAGCGGUGAAAUGCGUAGAUAUCUGGAGGAAUACCGGUGGCGAAGGCGGCAUCCUGGACCGGCAUUGACGCUGAGGAGCGAAAGCCAGGGGAGCAAACGGGAUUAGAUACCCCGGUAGUCCUGGCCCUAAACGAUGAAUGCUUGGUGUAACGGGUAUCGAUCCCUGUUGUGCCGAAGCUAACGCAUUAAGCAUUCCGCCUGGGGAGUACGGUCGCAAGGCUG